Molecule: long non-coding RNA, 315 nt
Organism: Triplophysa rosa
Lineage: Eukaryota; Metazoa; Chordata; Actinopteri; Cypriniformes; Nemacheilidae
Exons: 3
Source: RefSeq, a predicted model, not a curated record
AAGUGAAGUGGGUCCAGUGCUGUUCGGUUACCAACUUUCUUCCAAAUAUCUUCUUUUGUGUUCUGCUGAAGAAAGAAUUCAAAGAUUUGAAAUGACAAGAGGGUCACUAUCCACCUAUAAUCUAUGGAAAAGAACAUUUUGUUAAGGAAAAACGUACAGGAUGGUGCAACUUAAUGGUUUCCAGAUUAUGACUCAUCUGCCUCUACCUGCAUUUCAAGAGUCUUCCUUGUGUUACACUCUCGAUGUCUGACUCAACAUGAUGUCAUAGACCGAACAAGUCAUCAUCACAUGAGCUUGUGCAAACUAAUAUUCUGU